RNAcentral lists this ribosomal RNA (253 nucleotides) under uncultured bacterium. Its description in RNAcentral is "partial 16S ribosomal RNA". It matches the Rfam family "Bacterial small subunit ribosomal RNA", at positions 524 to 776 of the family's 1533-position model. The record is from RNAcentral.
UACGAAGGGGGCUAGCGUUGCUCGGAAUGACUGGGCGUAAAGGGCGCGUAGGCGGAUGGCAUAGUCAGAUGUGAAAUUCCCGGGCUUAACCUGGGGACUGCAUUUGAUACGUGUCGUCUUGAGUUCGGAAGAGGGUCGUGGAAUUCCAAGUGUAGCGGUGGAAUGCGUAGAGAUCCGGAGGAACACCAAAGGCGAAGGCAGUGUCCUGGGGAGUACCUGACGCUCAGGUGCGAAAGCCGGGGGAGCGAACGGG